Molecule: long non-coding RNA, 237 nt
Filed under: Theobroma cacao (cacao)
Lineage: Eukaryota; Viridiplantae; Streptophyta; Magnoliopsida; Malvales; Malvaceae
Description: long non-coding RNA (TCAC_LNC000871)
Source: RNAcentral
UUGAAUCAUAUAAAUGUGAAUAUAUGGUUUCGAUAGAAAAGUUUUGACAUACUCGUUAGUAAGAACUUCGAAAUACAGUGGUAAGAACGAAUGAUGAAAUCGAUGGAUGGAGUCACAUAGAUAAGCUUGCUUGGGCUUAGUGGGAUAUGUCCAUUGUGCCCAUGCGCUGGUCAUGGCUCAAGAAUUGGGUCGUGACAAGGAGGAUUUGAUAAGGCCUCAUAUUUUUUUUUCAAAAAU